AGAUGCCUCGGCUGAAAUUGGAGAAGCAAAGGAAGGCUAAGCAAGAUUAUGAGAAUUAAAGGGAUGCCAUUGAAGCUGUUCAAAACCGUAUUGAUGCAGCUAAAGCAUAACCAAAGUAAGGAAGAAAUAUCGGAGAAAGGAAUGGCAGAAAGGUUAAUCUUUUGAUAAUAGUAGGAGGACAACUACCGUCUUCAGUUCAAAUCCUGGUGGAAUCUUCAUUCAAAGUUGCGAUUUUCGUUCUGCUGCACUUUCUCAAACUCACAUCUUUGCAGCUAUAGCAGAGCCCUUCACUCCUCGAUGUAUUAUUUUGAAUGAAGACCAAGCUCAUGUCUCUUAUUUGAACAGCAAAUUUCCACAGCAUUGAUGGAUCUAUAUGUGUGCAUGUUUCUUGAUGCCAUCAA
Long non-coding RNA from Neltuma alba, 401 nucleotides. RefSeq lists it as uncharacterized. NCBI's taxonomy places the organism in Eukaryota, Viridiplantae, Streptophyta, Magnoliopsida, Fabales, Fabaceae. The record is from RefSeq and is a predicted model, not a curated record. The transcript has 3 exons.